RNAcentral lists this long non-coding RNA (681 nucleotides) under Mus pahari (shrew mouse). RNAcentral describes it as "lncRNA (MGP_PahariEiJ_G0003760.1)". The record is from RNAcentral. Lineage: Eukaryota; Metazoa; Chordata; Mammalia; Rodentia; Muridae.
GAGGAGGAGCGUUGCAAAUGUCGUGACAAGAAGUUUCCGUGCGCCCGAGAGCGUGUGAAUUGCUCCUAAUUACCGUGUCCGGUGCGCCUCUCCGCGUAGACGUGUGUAACCCCUCUACUCCUGGGGCUCCGGCUCCACUGAGCCACUCUCCCUUGGCCCGGGGCGCUUGGCAAGGCCGAGCUUCCCAAGUGGCCCCGGAGGCCUGGGGCGGGACAGGAGCAGGUGACAAUUCAAUUACCGCUGUCGAAGUGGGAGUGGAACCCGGGUGCCGGGGUGGGGGAGGGAGGGCGUUCACCGCAGACUUGCCAAGAUGGUUUUUGCUGGCUUCCUUCUGACCGUGACCGUGUGCUUCCACGUCCGACGGGCUCCGAGGUAGUUGAGAGCCGGUUUGCUCCCUUCCCCCGUCCUCUGUCACCUUUAAUGUUUAGUUCCUUCGUUUGCAAAGUCCUGACACCGUGGGCGUCACGGAGGCGAAAGUAAAAAGCCGCCUUUGCGACUCCCCAGAUCCUCUGGAGGCUGGGGACACCGGCCAGACGGUCAGACCCACAAGCCUUCUGCAGGGGGCGAGGGCCCUGGACCUGCUUUGACUUGGCCUUCCUCGACCCGUGCUGACGUCACGGCCCCAGAACCCGUUGGGUCUGCGGAGGAGAGUAAAGAAAAUUCGUUUAAAUGAAAUGCGAA